Molecule: long non-coding RNA, 1679 nt
Organism: Acanthaster planci (crown-of-thorns starfish)
Lineage: Eukaryota; Metazoa; Echinodermata; Asteroidea; Valvatida; Acanthasteridae
Source: RefSeq, a predicted model, not a curated record
CUGGUGGUCAUUCUCCUGCUUUGUGCACUCUGGUGCACACGGCUGCUGUUGAGUUCACCCCCUUUAACUUCUUCGAGUGCACCUCCGCCGACACCCCUCAUGAGCCAUCCUUGCUCCAAGUUUGUUGUCAGUUCCUCUGUCUUCCCCUCCCCCACAGGUGUUUCUCCAUGACACCAGUGCUGUAGAGCCCUACCCUCUCCUGUUCUUUGGCGGGAAGAUCGGUGUCACCGAAGAGGAAGGGCUGGAGAUGAUCACCGUCGACGAUUACAUCAAAUUCUCCGCCCCGGCCAGAAUAGCCCGUUUAGUCAAGGAUCUCCGGUGUGAACUGGACAAGCUGCUGCAACAGAAGAUCAGCCAACCAGGGAUGACCUGCUGGCGUCAAGACACCAAGGAGGGCCGGAUCAUGCAGGCCAUCAUCGACCUCAUCACGACCCAGGAGGACAGCAGACAGUCUGCAUGGUAGAUGGGCCAAUGUUAGGGGUUGUACUGACUCUACUGGAGGUCAAAACACGGAGGUCGUCUUGUUAUACUGGCUGCCAUGACCCCAAGAUGACUUAGGAAGACCUCUGCAUAGGUAGUCGGCACAGUUUUAGAGUUGGUUGACCUAGAAGGCCUACCGCAGGCCUGGAAAACCCGGCAAGGCCUGCUACCUCAACUGAGGUUGUGAAAACCCUGCUAGGGUAAGGCCAGAAUGUGCAUUUGUAUCACGGGGGUCACUGCUUGCCUCAUAACAACCAAGCUAGGAGAAAUAUAACAUAGUCAGAACAGUUCAGAGUUCAUCCACAUGUACAUGUACGGAAGACCGAGCAUAGGCUUAUGCAUUUGAUGGUAUGUACUCAGCAGUGACAAAGGUUGAUCCAGAACUGAAUUUUUGGGGGGGUGGGGAGUCAAACUCGUUUGGGGAGAUGAUAUCUCGAAAACGGACCAAAAAAUAGUUGACAGGUUAAGAAUGAAACAGAUCAUAGCAGUGUAGCUCUUAUUAGAUAAUUCUCUGAGAGUUACCGGGACAUUGUUCUACAUGUUGGAAGAAUAAGUAGUUUUGUCUUUUGAAACACGUAUAAAUUUGUUCCCAAUUUCUGACAGGAUCUGCAGAUUUAUUUCAUUUCUGUUUCACCAUGAUUAUUACCAGUCACUCGCUAAGCACUCAAACUUAAAACUACAGAGUAGUAUGCUCUGGAUAUGAACCUGAACAGUAUCAAUGUGCCUGAUAUGUGAACGCUCCAGGAUAGCAUUGUUGUUCAAAGUAAUCAUGAAUCACGUACGUUCACCCAGCACUGCCAGUGUACCAAUUUAGUUAAUACAUGAGAUUGUAGGGGGUGGCGUAUGACAGGGGAAGCCAUAAUCUGGUCCUGUCCCCUGUGACUAGGGCUUCGAGUUUUGAUCAAAAGAGGCAGCAGUGGAGAGCCACAGCCAGUGUUCAAUACAUGUACAUGCCAUGGUCUCGUAUGGAGACACUUGCCAACGUAGGUUUUCCUGAAGAUAUACCCAACAUAUAUAUUUGCAAUGGAUGUCUGUAUUGACACAGAUGAUAAAGCCAAAAGUGCAAGAAGUUUAAAGUACUGGUAAUAUUCAGCCAUUUUAUGCAACAUGGUCAUUAGAAGCCAGUAUCGAUCUUUGACAUAUCACAAACUGAUUUGGAUCAACACCAUUAAACCCUACUAAAUUCUACACUAUUCGAA